RNAcentral lists this ribosomal RNA (427 nucleotides) under uncultured bacterium. RNAcentral describes it as "bacterial SSU rRNA". It matches the Rfam family "Bacterial small subunit ribosomal RNA", at positions 355 to 774 of the family's 1533-position model. The record is from RNAcentral.
UAGGGAAUAUUGGACAAUGGGGGCAACCCUGAUCCAGCCAUGCCGCGUGAGUGAAGAAGGCCCUCGGGUUGUAAAGCUCUUUUGUCCGGAAAGAAAAGCUUCGGGUUAAUACCCCGGGGUUCUGACGGUACCGGAAGAAUAAGCACCGGCUAACUUCGUGCCAGCAGCCGCGGUAAUACGAAGAGUGCAAGCGUUACUCGGAAUUACUGGGCGUAAAGCGUGCGUAGGUGGUUGUUUAGGUCUGAUGUGAAAGCCCUGGGCUCAACCUGGGAAUGGCAUUGGAAACUGGGCAGCUAGAGUGCGGUAGAGGGUAGUGGAAUUCCCGGUGUAGCAGUGAAAUGCGUAGAGAUCGGGAGGAACAUCUGUGGCGAAGGCGACUGCCUGGACCAGCACUGACACUGAGGCACGAAAGCGUGGGGAGCAAACA